RNAcentral lists this long non-coding RNA (207 nucleotides) under Sorghum bicolor (sorghum). Its description in RNAcentral is "long non-coding RNA (SBIC_LNC004952)". Lineage: Eukaryota; Viridiplantae; Streptophyta; Magnoliopsida; Poales; Poaceae. The record is from RNAcentral.
AAUCUCGAAGGAUUUCAAACCACACAUCGCAUAACAGCCAAGAUCGUAAUAAGUUUAGCGGCUGCCAUCCACAAGUACAUCCAGAUUACAACAUUCAUAAAACACAUCGGAGUACUUAAGUUAUUACAAACCAAGUUCUUCAAGUAGCGGAAGCUUCAUAGUUCGAAAAUACAACACACACGAUAAGUCUGAUACAGUGCCAUAGUU